CACAUAUAAUGAUAGGAUGUAUGCUUGUUGGUACCAUUAAGUGUCAAUGGCUAAUUCUACACUCUUCAUUAUUGUUAUUUGCUAUAUGUUUAAUUUGUCGAAACAGGAUUUAAAUUCCUUGAAAACAAAAUGGAUGACUCAUUUAGGUUGUUUCGGAGUAAUCGAAUUGGCAGAUUCGACAAAAGUCCAAUUGACAAGAAUAACCGACAACCAACCUAAAACAUGUUCAAGACAUUGCAUGAAAUGGAAUUUCUUCGCUUUAC
Long non-coding RNA from Mytilus trossulus (common blue mussel), 263 nucleotides. RefSeq lists it as uncharacterized. The record is from RefSeq and is a predicted model, not a curated record. NCBI's taxonomy places the organism in Eukaryota, Metazoa, Mollusca, Bivalvia, Mytilida, Mytilidae. The transcript is spliced from 3 exons.